This 4273-nucleotide long non-coding RNA is filed under the name Salmo salar (Atlantic salmon). RNAcentral's name for it is "lncRNA (ENSSSAG00000094844.1)". The record is from RNAcentral. Lineage: Eukaryota; Metazoa; Chordata; Actinopteri; Salmoniformes; Salmonidae.
CUUUGGUUUGUCUCUACGACAUUCAGAGGAUGCACUACAACCUAUUGCUGAGGAGACAAAAAUGUUACUUUGAAGUAAUGUGUAAUUCUGUCACUAUCAAUUAACGUCUAAAAUGUCAACAGGCUAUUAAAUAAUACACUAACUCUAAAUCAGUCAGGAGCAAGCUGGGUAGCCUAAGAAAUAAAAAUAUUUAGGCUAUAUUAUUAUUAUUUAUUUGACCUUUAUUUAACCAGGGGAAACCCAUUGAGACCAGGGUCUCAUUUUGAAGGUUGCCCUGGGAACAAUAAAUCAACAUAAUCAGAAUCAAAACACAAUCAAUUUACAAUUUCACAUUUCAACAAAUCAAAUUCUAAAGCAGCAGAUAAAAUUACACAUCAAUCAAAACAAGUAAAUUUCUCCUUCACCACAUUCCUCAUGAAAUUCCCAACCUGACCCUUCGAGACCAGAGAGUCAAGCCUCAAAGUGGGCUGCAUGUCAUUCCAUGCGCUAAGGGCACAAUAACUAAAAGGCAAUCUUCCCGAACUCUGUGGAGACCAGAGGAACCGCUAGAACUAUCCAGUCUUGAGAGCGAAUCUGGUGGCUUUAUUUCCAAUUAAGAAGUGAGGUAGCUAGGGAGUUUCUGGAGAACUGUUUUAUAUACAAAUAGCAGCCAAUGUUGGUCCCUUUUGGUAGUCAGAGACUCUCAGCCAACAGAAUUACAUAAAAGGCAAUGAUGUGUACGAAAAUAUUGUCCAGUGAUCUAGCUAAAGCCACCAUUUAAGAAAUCAAUUGUGAAGCAUUUGUGACAUGCUACAGGCUGGCAGGAGAGCUCAGCAUUUCAACAACAGCACUUUAACAACAUGCCUAUACAUUUUGCAUUUAGGCUAUAUACAAUUACUUUAUUACUUAGAAUUAAAUAAUAAUGAAAUGAAAAAUGUCUUAUUAGGCUAUAGAGUCAUUCUACAAUGGCUUUGAAUUCAUUUUUGAAACUUGAGUUUGGCCAGUCUUUGGUUUGAGGGUCUGCGGUGAGCCAUGCAUGCCUAGUUUGUUAAUGUAACCUAACAGACGUUCUUAUAUUCCCAUGCCCUAAUCACAGUCAACACAAAUCUAUUUUGUGAUAACAAUAUCAUGGAAUAAAAUAGAAUACAUUUGUAAAAGUGCAUAUACUGUAGGCCUACCUGAUGAUAUGCAGGUGGCUGCUGUGUUAAAAAACAAAUGUAUUUUUCUAGAAUUCAUGUUUGAUCAGAUACUUCAGAUGUAACUGGUUCUGUCACGUUCCAUUUUUACAGUUGAUGGACAACUUUAGCUCUGUUCCAAACUUAGACUAUCCUCUUUUAUAAAAGUCUAGUUUCUCAGACCGCAAAUAAGAUGAUAGAUUCAUGCCGUGCUUUAAUUAGAAUGGAGAUCUUUUCACCCCUACCCUUGUCAGCGGUGGUCUCCGAAUCACAACUUUCUGGCCCUUUGCCAUGUAAUGCUGACAAAACAUAAAACAGUUUCUAAAACUGCCUCUAAGGCUCUGGUCUGUCCUAGGAGUGAGGGUAAACGGUAGGCAUGUUCUCUGCUAUCCACUUUGCUUUAAUUGUUAUUAUGGGUAUAGUGGAGGGUCACUUGUUUUCUUUUUACAUGUUCAGGGAGGGUCGGGUAAAAAUAUAUUUUACUGAAGGAGGGCCAUCCAUUUUCAGGUCCGAUUUUCUCCAGUUAUCAUUCAUUAUAAAUGACGUACAGUCCCUAAAAGUUCUCUCGGUUAGUAUUCAGAAAGGCCUAAAUGUAACUUAGUGAAGGGGAAUCUCAAAUCCGCAGAGAGAGUGGACCUACACAGGGGGUAAGGAGGGAGCUGGUAAGUCCUGUAACUAAGAGACAUAUUGGUAACACCUGAUCCCUAAAACACUGAUGAUGAGAAACAUUGGUGAGCAGUAGCUCGUUGGAUUGGUUGGCUGAUGGGAAAACGCCCUUUUCCAUGGUACUUAUCAACAUACACAGCAACAACACCCUCUGGAGACAUCCAAAACCAAUUAAAGUUUGUUUUGACAGAUCACUAUCCACGAUAAGUCUCCAAUAAUUAUGUGAUGUCAACAAAUUACGCAUUCACUGUGAAAAUUCUUGUGGACUUCAGAACUGUUCUCGCCAUCUGAAUGUGCGUCCUGGCCGUUCUGUCUGUAUGGUUGGGAGCCUCUCCUGAAGUCUCGGGUUUUGCCGCCAUGUGUUUCCAUUUACCUUCGUUACCUCGGAGCGUGACGUUCCCACCGCAGUUAUUACCCAACGCCCUGUGUGGUCACUCCGUGGGGGGGGGGGGCUUCUUCUGUGAAAAUGCAAUAGCCAUCCACCUUGAGACCCUUACUGUCACAGACAACUAGUCGGUCUCAGAGACCUUCUUAGUCCAACUGGGCUCUCGGACUAGACGUUAUAGUAGAGAUACAGCAUAUUUGACAGACAGAGAUGCUGUACAAAGAAAAACAUAUUGGCAUGCUCUUGGGACGAAUGUAGGGUUCAUGUGGGAAUGUGCUCCAUGGAUCCCAAACUUACAGCAAAAUGACAGAAAUGGAGGGUUAAACUGAAGCUCAUCCAAAACAGACAUUUCACUCCAUUUUCGCCAUUGGGGAUUUGACAGUACUGGCAGUGGAGUUGGUCGUUGAAUAUUGCCCGUCUCAGGCAUAUUGGAAGGCCUUGGUGUAUUCUCAUACUCCAUAUAUCAGAUGAUUAAGUUAUCCCUCACGUCUGCUGGGAUGACUGAGUGUUUGAUAAACUUCAAACACAUUGUGUUUACUCAACCCAACCAAACCGGCGGAAAAUAUUGCCUCAGUCGGAGGCUUAGCCAAUCCAUAAACUGUGGGUUUGUGUUGGUAGUAACCAGCGCCUGCAGGUCGGGUCCAACCAUAACUUCUACUCUCCACAGAAACUUCUUAUUUCACCCCGAGACGGGUGUCUUCGCCCUCCUAUCCUCUCGUCCGCAGGGAGAGCAAGAAGACAAAUAUUUUCUUUCAGGAGCGUCGCUCUGUUACCUGAGAGUUUCAUAAAUCCAGCACAAGUCUAUUUCCUGGAACUGUUGAGUGUCUUUCCAUCCCCUCGCCCCUCCGCCCCACCCUCCAGACCCUUCUCUCAGCCAGUGUUUGGGCCUGGAGCAGGUGCCCCUCCCCUGGGCAGCCUGCUCAGGAAAGGCCCCUGCUGUGCAGACGAGACUGGGCCGCAGCCCGGGCCAAGCUCAUGCUGUGAGGGGUAUAAGAGGCUCCCUUCUAUCCAGACACACACAAAAAAGAUUUGCCUUCCACUCCUCCUCUCUCGCUCUGUUUCUCUCCAAAAAUGCAAUCUUCCCAUCUGUUUUCCCUCUCUCAAAUCACUCUCUUUCUCUACUUCGCAAGUCUCUCUGUUUCCCUCUCUCUGCCUCCCUGUCCCUUCUCUCACCCCAUAUAACUUUAUAAAGGUUACAGACUGAAGCACGUCCAUCAAUCCUGGAAAAUUAUGAAAAACAUGACUACUAAAAAAAGGUUUAACUCUUUACUCAAGCUAUCAUAAUAAGCAGUAAGAGUUACUGUAGUUACUCAUGUCCUGUAGUUACUCAUGUCCUGUAGUUACUCAUGUCCUGUAGGCCAAGCUGUGUGAGUUACUCAUGUCCUGUAGUUACUCAUGUCCUGUAGGCCAAGCUGUGUGAGUUACUCAUGUCCUGUAGUUACUCAUGUCCUGUAGGCCAAGCUGUGCGAGUUCCUCAUGUCCUGUAGACCAAGCUGUGUGAGUUCCUCAUGUCCUGUAGGCCAAGCUGAGUGAGUUACUCAUGUCCUGUAGGCCAAGCUGUGUGAGUUACUCAUGUCCUGUAGGCCAAGCUGUGUGAGUUACUCAUGUCCUGUAGGCCAAGCUGUGUGAGUUACUCAUGUCCUGUAGGCCAAGCUGUGUGAGUUACUCAUGUCCUGUAGGCCAAGCUGUGUGUGUUACUCAUGUCCUGUAGGCCAAGCUGAGUGAGUUACUCAUGUCCUGUAGGCCAAGCUGUGUGAGUUACUCAUGUCCUGUAGGCCAAGCUGUGUGAGUUACUCAUGUCCUGUAGGCCAAGCUGUGUGAGUUACUCAUGUCCUGUAGGCCAAGCUGUGUGAGUUACUCAUGUCCUGUAGGCCAAGCUGUGUGAGUUACUCAUGUCCUGUAGGCCAAGCUGUGUGACUUACUCAUGUCCUGUAGGCCAAGCUGUGUGACUUACUCAUGUCCUGUAGGCCAAGCUGUGUGAGUUACUCAUGUCCUGUAGGCCAAGCUGUGUGAGCAAAGAAACUGAAUUUAUUGACUCCCUGAAGCAUCACAACUGGUCACAACUGAC